GACGAACGCUGGCGGCGUGCUUAACACAUGCAAGUCGAACGGAAAGGCCCUGCUUUUGUGGGGUGCUCGAGUGGCGAAAGGAUGAGUAACAUGUGAGUAACCUGCCCUUGACUUUAGGAUAACUUCAGGAAACUGGUGCUAAUAACGGAUAGGAGCUCCUGCUGCAUGGUGGGGGUUGGAAAGUUUCGGCGGUUGGGGAUGGACUCGCGGCUUAUCAGCUUGUUGGUGGGGUAGUGGCUUACCAAGGCUUUGACGGGUAGCCGGCCUGAGAGGGUGACCGGCCACAUUGGGACUGAGAGACGGCUCAGACUGGUACGGGAGGCAGCAGUUGGGAAUUGUGCACAAGGGGCGGAAACCUGAGGCAGCAACGCCGCGAGGGGGAUGGGGGCCUACGGGUUUUAAAGCGCUGACGCCGGGGAGGUGGCGGGAGUGACGGUAAGGAGUAAAGAAGCACCGGCUAACUACGUG
RNAcentral lists this ribosomal RNA (468 nucleotides) under uncultured bacterium. Its description in RNAcentral is "partial 16S ribosomal RNA". It matches the Rfam family "Bacterial small subunit ribosomal RNA", at positions 28 to 507 of the family's 1533-position model. The record is from RNAcentral.